GACGAACGCUGGCGGCGUGCUUAACACAUGCAAGUCGAACGGAAAGGCCCUGCUUUUGUGGGGUGCUCGAGUGGCGAACGGGUGAGUAACACGUGAGUAACCUGCCCUUGACUUUGGGAUAACUUUAGGAAACUGGGGCUAAUACCGGAUAGGAGCUCCUGCUGCAUGGUGGGGGUUGGAAAGUUUCGGCGGUUGGGGAUGGACUCGCGGCUUAUCAGCUUGUUGGUGGGGUAGUGGCUUACCAAGGCUUCGACGGGUAGCCGGCCUGAGAGGGUGACCGGCCACAUUGGAACUGAGAUACGACCCAGACUCCUACGGGAGGCAACGGUGGAGAAUAUUGCACAAGAGGCGGGAGCCUGAUGCAGCAACGCCGCGUGCGGGAUGAGGGCCUUCGGGUUGUGAACCGCUGUCGCCUGUGACGAGGCGUGAGUGACGGUAAUGGGUAAAGAAGCACCGGCUAACUACGUG
This 468-nucleotide ribosomal RNA is filed under the name uncultured bacterium. RNAcentral's name for it is "partial 16S ribosomal RNA". It matches the Rfam family "Bacterial small subunit ribosomal RNA", at positions 28 to 507 of the family's 1533-position model. The record is from RNAcentral.